This 497-nucleotide ribosomal RNA is filed under the name uncultured bacterium. RNAcentral's name for it is "partial 16S ribosomal RNA". It matches the Rfam family "Bacterial small subunit ribosomal RNA", at positions 28 to 507 of the family's 1533-position model. The record is from RNAcentral.
GAUGAACGCUGGCGGCGUGCCUAAUACAUGCAAGUCGAGCGAACGGACGAGAAGCUUGCUUCUCUGAUGUUAGCGGCGGACGGGUGAGUAACACGUGGAUAACCUACCUAUAAGACUGGGAUAACUUCGGGAAACCGGAGCUAAUUCCGGAUAAUAUUUUGAACCGCAUGGUUCAAAAGUGAAAGACGGUCUUGCUGUCACUUAUAGAUGGAUCCGCGCUGCAUUAGCUAGUUGGUAAGGUAACGGCUUACCAAGGCAACGAUGCAUAGCCGACCUGAGAGGGGGAUAGGCCACCCUGGAGCGGGACCGGGGUCCAGGCUCCUACGGGAGGCAGCAGUAGGGAAUCUUACGCAACAGGCGGAAACAUGGCGGAGCAAGCGCGCGUCAGUGAUGGAGGUCUUCGGAUCGUAAAACCCUGUUACUGGGGAAAAACAUAUGUGGAAGUAACUGUGCACAUCUUGACGGUACCUAAUAAGAAAGCCACGGCUAACUACGUG